RNAcentral lists this ribosomal RNA (852 nucleotides) under Fuscopannaria praetermissa. RNAcentral describes it as "LSU rRNA". It matches the Rfam family "Eukaryotic large subunit ribosomal RNA", at positions 34 to 901 of the family's 3401-position model. Lineage: Eukaryota; Fungi; Ascomycota; Lecanoromycetes; Peltigerales; Pannariaceae. The record is from RNAcentral.
UUAAGCAUAUCAAUAAGCGGAGGAAAAAGAAACCAACCGGGAUUGCCUCAGUAACGGCGAGUGAAGCGGCAACAGCUCAAAUUUGAAAUCUGGCUCCCUGCGGGGUCCGAGUUGUAAUUUGUAGAGGGUGUUUCGGGUGCGGUGCCGGUCUAAGUCCCUUGGAACAGGGCGUCAUAGAGGGUGAGAAUCCCGUCUGCGACUCGGCCGCCAACCCCGUGUGAAACCCCUUCGACGAGUCGAGUUGUUUGGGAAUGCAGCUCAAAAUGGGUGGUAAAUUUCAUCUAAAGCUAAAUACCGGCCAGAGACCGAUAGCGCACAAGUAGAGUGAUCGAAAGAUGAAAAGCACUUUGGAAAGAGAGUUAAACAGUACGUGAAAUUGUUGAAAGGGAAGCGCUGGCGACCAGACCUGUCCCCGGGCGAUCAUCGGCCAUUCGUGGCCGUGCACUCGCCCGGACGCAGGCCAGCAUCGGUUGCGGCGGCGGGACAAAGCGCCCGGGAACGUAGCUCCUUUCGGGGAGCCUUAUAGCCCGGGUGGUCAUGCCGCCCGCCGCGACCGAGGACCGCGCUUCGGCUAGGAUGCUGGCGUAAUGGUCGUCAGCGACCCGUCUUGAAACACGGACCAAGGAGUCUACCAUCUAUGCGAGUGUUUGGGUGUCAAACCCAGGCGCGGAAUGAAAGUGAACGGAGGUGAGACCCCGCAAGGGCGCAUCAUCGACCGAUCCAGAAGUCUUCGGAUGGAUUUGAGUACGAGCAUGGCUGGUGGGACCCGAAAGAUGAUGAACUAUGCCUGAAUAGGGUGAAGCCAGAGGAAACUCUGGUGGAGGCUCGCAGCGGUUCUGACGUGCAAAUCGA